UAUAUAUAUAUAUAUAUAUAUAUAUUUAAAAAAAACAGAAAAUCAAGAAAUAUUGAUGAACCACAAUUGACGUACAUCAAUUAUCAUUUAUUAAUUCAAUA
Octopus sinensis (East Asian common octopus) is the source of this 101-nucleotide long non-coding RNA. RefSeq lists it as uncharacterized. Lineage: Eukaryota; Metazoa; Mollusca; Cephalopoda; Octopoda; Octopodidae. The record is from RefSeq and is a predicted model, not a curated record. The transcript has 3 exons.